GAGUACGUGGUCGAGUGGUCAAGGGGUCUGACUCGAAUCCAUCGACGAUCGAUCAGAUGGGAUUUCCCGGAUAGGUUCGAAUACUGUCGAGUGCA
Pleodorina starrii is the source of this 95-nucleotide non-coding RNA. Lineage: Eukaryota; Viridiplantae; Chlorophyta; Chlorophyceae; Chlamydomonadales; Volvocaceae. The record is from the annotation of a GenBank genome assembly.